This 326-nucleotide ribosomal RNA is filed under the name uncultured eukaryote. RNAcentral describes it as "partial 18S ribosomal RNA". It matches the Rfam family "Eukaryotic small subunit ribosomal RNA", at positions 1470 to 1796 of the family's 1831-position model. The record is from RNAcentral.
CCCUUAGAUGUUCUGGGCCGCACGCGCGCCACACUGAUGCAUUCAACGAGUCCAACCUUGACCGAGAGGUCCGGGUAAUCUUUGAAACUGCAUCGUGAUGGGGCUAGAUUAUUGCAAUUAUUAAUCUUCAACGAGGAAUGCCUAGUAAGCGUGAUUCAUCAAAUCGCGUUGAUUACGUCCCUGCCCUUUGUACACACCGCCCGUCGCUCCUACCGAUUGAGUGUGUUGGUGAGGAGUUUGGAUUGGCCUCGGAAGGUGGUUCGCCACCGUCCGUAGCUGAGAAGUUCUCCAAACCGCCCCACUUAGAGGAAGGAGAAGUCGUAACA